UNCACUCAUAGCGGUGCCUUUGUUCUUCUC
Molecule: non-coding RNA, 30 nt
Filed under: Mus musculus (house mouse)
Lineage: Eukaryota; Metazoa; Chordata; Mammalia; Rodentia; Muridae
Source: RNAcentral